UCACUUUCUUUGUAAACCCAAAACUACACACAACCUUUCUCUCUCUUUUACACAAACCUAAGCUAUAAACCAGAUCAACCUUACCUCUCUCCACUUCUUACUACUGUGAAGUUUGAGUUUGUGGUGUGCAAGAUAUGAAGGAUUUUACCAUUUAAAGAGAUCAACUUGUUAGGUAUAUGGAGAAGAAAGAGAUGGCUGUGAAAACUGAGGAUGCGGUUGGGUCCUCUUCUUUCCCUUGUUAUAAUUAUUCAAACCUUUAUCCAUUCUCGAACGCGUUUGAUUUCUCUGAGGUUGAAAAGAGCUCUUUAGGGUUUAUGGAGUUACUGGGUGUGCAGGACUAUAGUCCUCUGCUUGAGUUGCCUCAACUUUCAACUGUGUCCGUGCAAUCUCAUCAUCACUCUACAGUUACGGUUCCUUCUGAUAACGGGAAAGAGUGUUCUGAGGUGUUGAACCACCAGCCUGCCACUCCAAACUCUUCUUCCAUUUCAUCCGCGUCCACUGAUGCAGUCAAUGAUGAACAGAAGAAGACUCUAGACCAAGCAGAAGAAGAUGAUGAUGAUGAUGAUGAAGGACAACACAAGACUAAGAAACAGUUGAAGCCCAAGAAGACAAAUCAGAAGAGACAGAGAGAACCAAGAUUCGCGUUCAUGACGAAAAGCGAGGUCGAUCAUCUGGAAGAUGGGUACAGAUGGAGAAAGUACGGUCAAAAGGCCGUGAAAAAUAGCCCCUUUCCCAGGAGCUACUAUCGUUGCACCAGUGUUUCAUGUAAUGUGAAGAAACGUGUGGAGAGAUCUUUCACUGAUCCAAGCGUUGUAGUGACAACCUAUGAAGGCCAACACACACAUCCCAGCCCAGUUAUGCCUCGCUCAGUUGUCUCUUCUGGAUACGCCAACAACUUUGCUUCAGUUUUGCCACUAGGAAACUACUUAUCCCAGUAUCAGCAGCAGCACCAUCACCACCAACAACAAAAGCUACUUGUCAACACAUUGUCCUCUUUGGGUUUUCCUUACAAUGAUUCUUCAUCUCCAAAGAACGCUGUUUUUAUUCAAGAGAGACGGCUUUGUAGUAAUCAAGGGACGAAUGCGUUUCUGAGGGACCAUGGACUUCUUCAAGAUGUUGUUCCUUCACACAUGUUGAAAGAAGAGUAGAGCUGAUAUAACUCCAUAGUUAGUAGUCAACAUGCUUCUAUGUGGUUUAUUUUUUUGCUGACUUUUUCCUAUGGGAUAAUUAGGAAUGUGCAUUGAUUUCACAGAUGUACAGCAGUGAAGAUUGUUAGGUUAAGGAUUUUAAACGGGAAGAAUUGGUGUGGAAACUUGCUGCUUUGUUUUGUUCCCGGAAGUCGACCGAAACUAAUUAUAGAAAAAUAUUUUUCAAAUUAGGAUGAUAUGGUGCUAAAAGUCUUGUCCCAAUAUGGACACGAGGAUAUAAAUGGGAAGAGUAAUUCAACCAUUCUGAUCCCUCUUUUGAGGUGAAUGAGUAAAUGCCUCUGUGUAUCCUGCACGCGAUGCAAUCCAUUCAUGGAUUGGAUAGUGGUGGAGAAGGGGAGAAUUAAAGAAGAACAAAUACAAAAGGAGAAAUUUUUAUACAUACAAGCUAAGCAUAUAUCGAGUGUGAUAUGGUCACUAUGAUGGAAUAGAUUUUGAUAACGACACAUGUUAGUUUUUAUUUAUGAAGGUAUCAAGAUAGGUCGUGUUUGUUUACAAGUUUUGUUUUAUUGAGCAGUUGAAGGAGGUUCUCACAGUGAAGAAUUAUUGAAGUUUUUGAGAUAUUUAUAUAGCCGUUCACGGAUAGGCAUAGGCUAACAUAUUGUGAGAUGUUAUAUACGACACGCCACCGUCAAAGAAAUUACUGGGACCAGCUCCCUUUUCUCUCGUA
Molecule: RNA transcript, 1875 nt
Organism: Glycine soja
Lineage: Eukaryota; Viridiplantae; Streptophyta; Magnoliopsida; Fabales; Fabaceae
Gene name: WRKY transcription factor 23-like
Exons: 4
Source: RefSeq, a predicted model, not a curated record